UAAAUCAUCUCACCUUUGGUUUUGUCUUGCUCUUCGUGUCGUUGUUUAAGACUUUUGACGGUUUCCUCUGAAGCAUAGUGCUGAAUCUGAAUAACUGCUGGUCAGUUUUUUUUGUUGUUGAUAAAAAACAACUGUGCUGUUGCUUAUUUAACCAAUCAUCAUAUCAACAACCUACUGUACUGCAACAGUUGUGCAGAGCAGCUACAUUUCCUCUAAGGCAGCCAGGAUGUGACUCUCUCUCUACACAGUCUGUUUAUCUGUGAUGAAAGACAUGCAUGUGUUGUACUUUUAGGUGGGAGGUGGAAAGUCUGGUCAACAAGCUACAGACACUGAAUAAUCCUCAGCGCACCCAGAAAGCCUCAUUGAUGACUGCUUGAUUGGGGUUGUAAUAAUUUCACAGCCUACCUCUUCCUCACCCCAACCACCCUGACAAUCCUGGCCAGCAGAGCAGUAGGUCUAACUGUACCACAUGGUGCCUUCCCAGUCACCUGAGGAUGUUGGUUGAUCUAUUAGUUGUAAUUCAACUGGUGGGAUGAAGGAUGAGGGAAUGGAUGGACCGGACAUUUUUAAACCUCACCAAAAUAAAAUGCAAAGAGUUCAGCUGCUCCACUCUGUCCUCUACCGCCAGCACGCUUCUCUGACAAGGACCUUGACCCAUCUCUGAGGAACCACAGGCAAGAAUGCAAGGUUAGACUACUUUUCUGGUACUCAGUAGGUUGU
Molecule: long non-coding RNA, 720 nt
Organism: Oncorhynchus kisutch (coho salmon)
Lineage: Eukaryota; Metazoa; Chordata; Actinopteri; Salmoniformes; Salmonidae
Exons: 3
Source: RefSeq, a predicted model, not a curated record